This 361-nucleotide long non-coding RNA is filed under the name Homo sapiens (human). Its description in RNAcentral is "non-protein coding lnc-C17orf64-2:1". The record is from RNAcentral. Lineage: Eukaryota; Metazoa; Chordata; Mammalia; Primates; Hominidae.
AGUGCAAGCGGCCAAGAGGGCGAGCAUUCGACUUCCACCUGAAGUAAAUCAGAUAUUGUAUAUAAGAAAUUUGCCAUACACAAUCACAGCUCAAUCAAUGUAUAUUUGGGAAAUAUGGACCUAUUCAUCAAAUCAGAGUGGAAAACACACCUGAAACUAGAGGAACAGCUUAUGUGGUCUAUGAAGACAUCUUUGUUGCCAAGAAUGCUUGUGAUCACCUAUCGGGAUUCAAUUUUUGUGACAGAUAACUUGUGGUUUUGUACUAUAAUGCCAACAGGGCAUUUCAGAAGAUGGACACGAAGAAGGAGGAACAGCUGAAGCUUCUCACGGAGAAAUAUGGUUGUCAAGAUAGAUCCACCAA